RNAcentral lists this transfer RNA (67 nucleotides) under Pedipes pedipes. Its description in RNAcentral is "tRNA-Tyr". Lineage: Eukaryota; Metazoa; Mollusca; Gastropoda; Ellobiida; Ellobiidae. The record is from RNAcentral.
UUUUUGGUGGCCGACACAUUUUAGGCGACAGACUGUAAAUCUGUUCACGGAGAACCUCCCCAGAGAA